ACAUUUUAAAACUUAAAUGGACUUGAUUUUAACUCUACGCUGUGAUCAUAGUUCAGGAAAAUGUGCGGAAAAGAUGAAAAGAAGAAGGAGUUGUACGUAGGGGGAACUGUAAAAGAAGAGGAUGGAUUGAAGAGGUCUGAAGAGGAGACUAAACCAAGUUCUGAUAUUCAAGUAAAUGCUGAUUCCGUUCAACAAGCUAAGAUGGAAGACGACAAAGAGGUGAAGAGUUCAAAACUUGGAAGACAAGUUAGCAGAGAUGAAUUUAUGAUGGUUAUGCUUUAAAAAACAACAACAACAACAAUAUCAACAA
This is a long non-coding RNA of Eurytemora carolleeae, 310 nucleotides long. RefSeq lists it as uncharacterized. Lineage: Eukaryota; Metazoa; Arthropoda; Copepoda; Calanoida; Temoridae. The transcript has 2 exons. The record is from RefSeq and is a predicted model, not a curated record.